RNAcentral lists this ribosomal RNA (531 nucleotides) under Escherichia coli. RNAcentral describes it as "bacterial SSU rRNA". It matches the Rfam family "Bacterial small subunit ribosomal RNA", at positions 857 to 1388 of the family's 1533-position model. The record is from RNAcentral. Lineage: Bacteria; Pseudomonadati; Pseudomonadota; Gammaproteobacteria; Enterobacterales; Enterobacteriaceae.
GCGUUAAGUCGACCGCCUGGGGAGUACGGCCGCAAGGUUAAAACUCAAAUGAAUUGACGGGGGCCCGCACAAGCGGUGGAGCAUGUGGUUUAAUUCGAUGCAACGCGAAGAACCUUACCUGGUCUUGACAUCCACAGAACUUUCCAGAGAUGGAUUGGUGCCUUCGGGAACUGUGAGACAGGUGCUGCAUGGCUGUCGUCAGCUCGUGUUGUGAAAUGUUGGGUUAAGUCCCGCAACGAGCGCAACCCUUAUCCUUUGUUGCCAGCGGUCCGGCCGGGAACUCAAAGGAGACUGCCAGUGAUAAACUGGAGGAAGGUGGGGAUGACGUCAAGUCAUCAUGGCCCUUACGACCAGGGCUACACACGUGCUACAAUGGCGCAUACAAAGAGAAGCGACCUCGCGAGAGCAAGCGGACCUCAUAAAGUGCGUCGUAGUCCGGAUUGGAGUCUGCAACUCGACUCCAUGAAGUCGGAAUCGCUAGUAAUCGUGGAUCAGAAUGCCACGGUGAAUACGUUCCCGGGCCUUGUACAC